This 198-nucleotide ribosomal RNA is filed under the name uncultured bacterium. RNAcentral describes it as "partial 16S ribosomal RNA". It matches the Rfam family "Bacterial small subunit ribosomal RNA", at positions 328 to 539 of the family's 1533-position model. The record is from RNAcentral.
ACGCUCGACACCUACGGGAGGAGCAGUGGGGAAUAUUGCACAAUGGGGGAAACCCUGAUGCAGCGACGCCGCGUGGAGGAAGAAGGUCUUCGGAUUGUAAACUCCUGUUGUUGGGGAAAAAGAGGAUGGUACCCAACAAGGAAGUGACGGCUAACUACGUGCCAGCAGCCGCGGUAAUCUGAGGCGGGCUGGCAAGGC